AUGACCAUGCUGCCCUCGGCCAGCAGACAGCCACGCCAGGCCACUGUCCUGCCGAGCCAGGCAGGGGCACCAGAGCGCGAGUCAGCGCUGGCAGCUGUGACAGCUGGAUUUCGGAAAGUUACAGGACGGCUCCCGGAGCAUUCACCCCAUCAACGUAGGAGAAGCCCAGUGCUCUCAAGGCCCAGGUGCUGCUGUGACGUCCAUCACAGGGAGACCCAGAGCUGCCACAGCAGGGUCUCCAGGGCAAGUUCUUUGCGCUGUGGGUGGGGAAGACUGGAGACCCUGCAUCCAGGACCACUGGUCCCUCUUCUGGAGCUGCAGCCCUGGUCAGGUCACUUCCGGGUGACUUCACCCAGGUGAACGUCUGGAGCACACUGAUACAAACCCAGGAGACUGAGCCUGCUCGUGCCCUGGAGGACGCAGUGACCACCAGACGCUGCUGCAGGCUUUAUGGGCUGCUGCUUCAUGCAGCUUUUGUUUUUUUCAGUACUGGUUUGAACCCAGGGCCUUCAUAUUGUUCUAUAUCUCCAGCCCCUUCUUAUUUUUUUAUUUUGAGAUAGAGUCCUUGGUAAGUUGCAAAGUUCCCUGGGCUGGGGUUGAACUUUGGUUCGUCCUGCUUCAGCCUCCCAGAGUGCUGGGAUUCCAGGUGUGCACCACGCCUGACUCAAUAACUUUUUAUGAGUACAAGAGUACACACUAAAAUAUGAUAAAGAGUGGACUGCCAUAAACACAUACCCCAGUAACACAGUUGUUUAUUAUCAAGUAUUAUAGCCUGGAUAUAAUAGCAUUUGCUAUACAACCAGCUGCACACUGGGCUUGUUUACAGGACAGUACCACAGAUAUGUGAGCCAUGUGUGUGUGGUAUCUUAGCUCCUGAUGGCCGUGUCAGUAGGUGAUAUGGAUUCUCAGCUCCAUUGUGACCGUACAGGGACACAGUCCAGGUCUGUACGCAGCGCAUGCCUAUGUUUCCACUCUGAGUCCCCAAAAUCUCCAGAGUUCUAUCUUCUCUCUCAAAUCCUUAACUUUGGCACAGGGAAGAGACAAAGAAUAUUUAGAGAAACCGAGGACCCCAGAGCAGCUUCUUCAAAGUCAAAGGCGCUCACGGGCUGGGGGUGGGGUGGGGUGCGGUUGAGGGUCAGCUCUGCAAUGAAGCCAGGCUUAGCAUGCUCCAGGCUUGGUCUCCAGUGCCCCAAAAUAGACAAAUGAAAAAAAGAAAAACUCAAGGUUUGUAAGCAAAAUAUUCUUGCUCUGGUAAGCAAGAAGCUGAGAGAUCUGUCCAAUUCACAGCAGUGACUUCUGAGCUACCUUUUGCAAUACCUGUUUUUUGGAGACUAUUAGAGUAGAAACACUAAAGUUACUAAAAAGGUAGUAAAGUCUAUUCCAUCUUAAAUAUCACUGUGAAAGAGCUGUGAUUUUAGCUGGGUGUGAUGGUGCACACCUGCAAUCUCAGCACUGAGGGAGGCUGAGGCAGGAAAAUUGCAAGUUUCAGGCUAACCUUAUCAAUUUAGCAAUUUAACAAAACCCUCACUCAACAUCAAACUGGCCAAGCAUGGUAGUGCACGCCUGUAAUCCCAGCACUCGGGAGGAGGAUCGCUGUGAGUUCGAGACCAGCCUGGGCUACACAGUGAGUUCCAGGUCAGUCACAACUACAUAGUGAGACCCUGUCUAAAAAAACAAGCAAAAUAAUCAGGUUAGGCAUGUAACUCAGGGCACAAAGGCCCUGGGUUCAAUGCCCAGUACCAGAAGAGAAAAAAGAUUGCAAUUUUUAUAAAUAGGGUUUGGCUAUAUGAUUGUGCAAUAUUAUUGUGUAACAUUAAAAUGUCUCUUAUGUUACACAGACUCUAUCGUGUAUUACUAAUAGAAGCCAAAGUGAUCAAUGGAACAACUCUCAACAACACAUUUCUCGUGCAUCUUAAGAAAGUAACCCUGAUGUUAACAAACACUCCCUCGACUCUUACUUACAGAAGCACUGAACAAAGGCCUUUGGUUUCCUGGUAAAGAAGUCCAAUUAAUUCAAGGACAUUGAGUAAGGAAUGGGCUAAACACAGACUGGCCUCCGACGUCAAUCUCCUCCGCUCCACCGUGACCCUGGAACCCUUAAGAUGCUGGAACACAUUUCAAGAACUCGGAUUGGGCAUCAUUGGCAGGGUCUGGCCUGGCCAGCAGGCUGUGGAGAGCAGGGCCUGAACACCCAGCAUCUGUAUUCUCCACAGACCCUAGCAUUUUAGCCAGGUAGGAAAGUUAUUCUAACCCUAACCCUGGCAAAGGUGAUAAGAGUCUUCAGGAUUUGUUUCAGGCACUUCAAGAAGUGAAGCAGCAUUUAUCCAAGCAGUCUAUAAAAUAUGAUGGGCUGGGUGUGGUGCUGCACACCUGUAAUUCCAGCACUUGGGAGGCUGAGGAAGGAGGAUUGCUGUGCGUUCGAGGCCAGCCUGGACUACACAGUGAGACUCUAUCUCAUAAAAUAAAAUAAAAUACGAUGGGACUGAAAUAAGCUGUCGCAAGGUUCAGCCCCAUGGUAUUUAUAUUGUGCCUAAUAGUCCACUGGGGCUGCUAUAACCACAUACCGUAAACCAGGCAGUUUGUGACAACAACAUGUAUUUC
Long non-coding RNA from Fukomys damarensis (Damara mole-rat), 2601 nucleotides. The record is from Ensembl. Lineage: Eukaryota; Metazoa; Chordata; Mammalia; Rodentia; Bathyergidae.